Molecule: ribosomal RNA, 402 nt
Filed under: uncultured eukaryote
Lineage: Eukaryota
Description: bacterial SSU rRNA
Rfam family: Eukaryotic small subunit ribosomal RNA
Source: RNAcentral
CAAUAGCGUAUAUUAAAGUUGUUGCAGUUAAAAGCUCGUAGUUGAAUUUCUAGUUAGCUAUUCUCUGGUCUUCCAGAUACUAGUUAGCUAUCCGACAAUGAACCAUAUCGGUUAUUAAGUUAACCUAUGGAGAACUGUCAUUUUACUUUGAAAAAUUAGAGUGUUUCAGGCAGGCAUUUGCCCGAAUAUCUUAGCAUGGAAUAAUGGAAUAGGACUUUGGUUCAUUUUAUUGGUUAUUGAAUCAGAGUAAUGAUUAAUAGGGACAGUUGGGGCAGUUAGUAUUUAAUUGUCAGAGGUGAAAUUCUUGGAUUUAUUAAAGACUAUCUUAUGCGAAAGCAUUUGCCAAGGAUGUUUUCAUUAAUCAAGAACGAAAGUUAGGGGAUCGAAGACGAUUAGAUACCA